GAACCACCUGAUCCCAUCCCGAACUCAGAAGUGAAACAGACCUGCGCCGAUGGUAGUGUGGUUCGCCCAUGUGAGAGUAGGUCAUCGUCAGGC
Molecule: ribosomal RNA, 93 nt
Filed under: Marinobacter persicus
Lineage: Bacteria; Pseudomonadati; Pseudomonadota; Gammaproteobacteria; Pseudomonadales; Marinobacteraceae
Source: RNAcentral